AUCAUGGGGAAUUCAAAAGAUAGUGUUGUGCUGUGCAGUCCGCGUUUCAUAGUUAAUAAGUAAUAUCCUCUUCACUCCUUUUCUUUUUCUGCCAGUAAAUUGAGCUUGGCAGGCCUGUUAUUUUCCUUAUAAUGCCAACUGAUGAAAUUGCCUCCCAAAUGCAAGCCAUCGUCAUUAACACAAGUGCCUCGGAAGGAGAUGCACAAGAUGGCUCCCUCCCCUGCAGCUGGGGAGAGACAGCUGCCACUCUACAUUAAAAAGCCAGUUCAAAGAAUCAGAUAUGAAAUCUUGCUCUUCAGGGCACCAAGCGGACUCGUGUGAAUAGUCAUCACUGUUCCCAGUCGAUCUUGGGUAGAAUAAAUCCGUCCCCAGACUCCUGGACUCAUUCGUUCAACAAAAGGGAUCCGAAGCCCUCCUGGUCCAACCUGAACUUCUCCUUUAGAUCCUUCAGUCUUCAGUGUGAAACAAGAUAUGGUCAUCUCCAAAGGGUUCUUAUUUUCCCUCUUGUGCUUUUCAACAUUUCACAACAUUUUACAGUGAGUACUUUUGGGUUUUUUUAUUUUUUAUUUUUUGAGACAGACAGGGCCUCACUCUAUUGUCCAGUCUGGA
Long non-coding RNA from Macaca mulatta (Rhesus monkey), 609 nucleotides. RefSeq lists it as uncharacterized. NCBI's taxonomy places the organism in Eukaryota, Metazoa, Chordata, Mammalia, Primates, Cercopithecidae. The record is from RefSeq and is a predicted model, not a curated record.